UACGUAGGGUCCGAGCGUUGUCCGGAAUUAUUGGGCGUAAAGAGCUCGUAGGCGGUUUGUCGCGUCUGCUGUGAAAUCCCGAGGCUCAACCUCGGGUCUGCAGUGGGUACGGGCAGACUGGAGUGCGGUAGGGGAGAAUGGAAUUCCUGGUGUAGCGGUGGAAUGCGCAGAUAUCAGGAGGAACACCGAUGGCGAAGGCAGUUCUCUGGGCCGUAACUGACGCUGAGGAGCGAAAGCUAGGGGAGCAAACGGG
This 253-nucleotide ribosomal RNA is filed under the name uncultured bacterium. RNAcentral describes it as "partial 16S ribosomal RNA". It matches the Rfam family "Bacterial small subunit ribosomal RNA", at positions 524 to 776 of the family's 1533-position model. The record is from RNAcentral.